AGAGUUUGAUCCUGGCUCAGGAUGAACGCUAGCGGCAGGCUUAACACAUGCAAGUCGAGGGGUAGGAGCAGCUUGCUGCUUUGAGACCGGCGCACGGGUGCGUAACGCGUAUACAAUCUACCUUUUACAGAGGGAUAGCCCAGAGAAAUUUGGAUUAAUACCUCAUAGUAUUUUCGAAUCGCAUGAUUUGAUUAUUAAAGUUCCAACGGUAGAAGAUGAGUAUGCGUCCCAUUAGCUAGAUGGUAAGGUAACGGCUUACCAUGGCUACGAUGGGUAGGGGUCCUGAGAGGGAGAUCCCCCACACUGGUACUGAGACACGGACCAGACUCCUACGGGAGGCAGCAGUGAGGAAUAUUGGACAAUGGGCGCAAGCCUGAUCCACCAUGCCGCGUGCAGGAAGAAGGCCUAUGGAUUGUAAACUGCUUUU
RNAcentral lists this ribosomal RNA (427 nucleotides) under uncultured Flavobacteriia bacterium. RNAcentral describes it as "bacterial SSU rRNA". It matches the Rfam family "Bacterial small subunit ribosomal RNA", at positions 8 to 437 of the family's 1533-position model. Lineage: Bacteria; Pseudomonadati; Bacteroidota; Flavobacteriia. The record is from RNAcentral.